GAUGAAGAACGUAGCGAAAUGCGAUAAGUAAUGUGAAUUGCAGAAUUCAGUGAAUCAUCGAAUCUUUGAACGCACAUUGCGCCCGCCAGUAUUCUGGCGGGCAUGCCUGUCUGAGCGUCAUUUCAACCCUCAUGCCCCUAGGGCGUGGUGUUGGGGAUCGGCCAAAGCCCGCGAGGGACGGCCGGCCCCUAAAUCUAGUGGCGGACCCGUCGUGGCCUCCUCUGCGAAGUAGUGAUAUUCCGCAUCGGAGAGCGACGAGCCCCUGCCGUUAAACCCCCAACUUCUCAAGGUUGACCUCAGAUCAGGUAGGAAUACCCGCUGAACUUAAGCAUAUCAAUAAGCGGAGGA
This 348-nucleotide unclassified non-coding RNA is filed under the name soil metagenome. RNAcentral describes it as "partial contains 5.8S ribosomal RNA, internal transcribed spacer 2, and large subunit ribosomal RNA". The stretch from base 1 to 120 matches the Rfam family "5.8S ribosomal RNA", at positions 35 to 154 of the family's 154-position model. The record is from RNAcentral.